Molecule: ribosomal RNA, 433 nt
Filed under: uncultured bacterium
Lineage: Bacteria
Description: partial 16S ribosomal RNA
Rfam family: Bacterial small subunit ribosomal RNA
Source: RNAcentral
AACGAACGCUGGCGGCAUGCCUAACACAUGCAAGUCGAACGAUACCUUCGGGUCUAGUGGCUCACGGGUGCGUAACGCGUGGGAACCUGCCAUUAGGGUGGGAAUAACUCCCCGAAAGGGGUGCUAAUACCGGAUAAUGUCUUCGGACCAAAGAUUUAUCGCCUUUGGAUGGGCCCGCGUUGGAUUAGCUAGUUGGUAGGGUAAAAGCCUACCAAGGCGACGAUCCAUAGCUGGUCUGAGAGGAUGAUCAGCCACACUGGGACUGAGACACGGCCCAGACUCCUACGGGAGGCAGCAGUGGGGAAUAUUGGACAAUGGGCGAAAGCCUGAUCCAGCAAUGCCGCGUGAGUGAUGAAGGCCUUAGGGUUGUAAAGCUCUUUUACACGGGAUGAUAAUGACAGUACCGGGAGAAUAAGCUCCGGCUAACUCCGUG